Molecule: ribosomal RNA, 483 nt
Filed under: uncultured bacterium
Lineage: Bacteria
Description: partial 16S ribosomal RNA
Rfam family: Bacterial small subunit ribosomal RNA
Source: RNAcentral
AUUGAACGCUGGCGGCAGGCCUAACACAUGCAAGUCGAGCGGAUGAAGGGAGCUUGCUCCUGGAUUCAGCGGCGGACGGGUGAGUAAUGCCUAGGAAUCUGCCUGGUAGUGGGGGAUAACGUCCGGAAACGGGCGCUAAUACCGCAUACGUCCUGAGGGAGAAAGUGGGGGAUCUUCGGACCUCACGCUAUCAGAUGAGCCUAGGUCGGAUUUGCUAGUUGGUGGGGUAAAGGCCUACCAAGGCGACGAUCCGUAACUGGCCUGAGAGGAUGAUCAGUCACACUGGAACUGAGACACGGUCCAGACUCCUACGGGAGGCAGCAGUGGGGAAUAUUGGACAAUGGGCGAAAGCCUGAACCAGCCAUGCCGCGUGUGUGAAGAAGGGCUUCGGAGGGUAAGCACUUUAAGUUGGGAGGAAGGGCAGUAAGUUAAUACCUUGCUGUUUUGACGUUACCAACAGAAUAAGCACCGGCUAACUUCGUG